UGAUGAAGUCUGUGAUGACAUCAUCAAUCUGGCGGCUCCGCCUCAAACAUUUCUGAAGAUGAGCUGCCACCACAUUUGUCACGGAGGGGUCGCAUUUUACUGCGUGGAUCGUUCUCCCAGGAUGCCGACGGGACUCCAGAGGCAAGGUGCAGACCGGAACAAGAAGGAGGGGUUUGGAUAAGGAAAACUGUGAAGUCGGACCAGGCGACUGGAGUGAGAUUAAAAAUGUCUCAUUUGAGAGAAAACACAGGGACAAACUAAUGGGAUAAUAAAACUAAAUUGUUAUUGUUUCUGCACCAAGCUUGAGGUUUUUGCCAAGUUGAUAAAACAACACACAAUGUUGUUGCCCAUGCCUUGAUCUUUCUGUCGGUUUUUGGCCUUCUCUUCAUUUCUUCUUUUACCCUUUCUCCUUUGGACACAGUGCCCACAGAGCAGAUUUUGAUUGAGCUUUGUUUUUUUCCCUUAAGACCUAGAAGUUAGUCCUGUGCUUUGUACUGUAGUUCUGUUUUUUACAAUGAACUCAUCAGUGGUAUUAAUGCUGACCGGGGGGUUUGCACCAUACCGCUAUUAAAAUGUUUGUUCCAUUGCUGCUGUGUUGUGCUAUAACCACUGAACAAAUGAAUAAACGCAACACUUUUGUU
Nerophis lumbriciformis (worm pipefish) is the source of this 641-nucleotide long non-coding RNA. RefSeq lists it as uncharacterized. Lineage: Eukaryota; Metazoa; Chordata; Actinopteri; Syngnathiformes; Syngnathidae. The record is from RefSeq and is a predicted model, not a curated record.